AACGGCCUAUUUCUGAAAAUACUUUCUAAAGCGGGUAAAAUUCGAAAUUUGUUUUAAAUUUGGGUUAAAAAUAAAAAAAAUUCAUCAUCUACAGGACUGCAUGCAGCGUCCCUCUCGAUCUGGUGCUCAAGUCUCCAUCGAUUCCUCUAAGGUUUUCUAUAAAAAAAUUUAUAAAAUUUAUCGAUUCUUCAUCACAUUAAAUUUUACGGCGCAUAUAUGAAGCAUUACAAAAAGAUAUAAAAAUAACUAAUUAUAUAGUUUGCUUAUAAUAUAGAAAAAAACUUUUAAAUCUAGUUAGUCUAUGGUUGGAGGACGCAGAGGGCGCCUCGGCAGACUUUGAACGCCGUUUCCCAUGCUGUGUCAUCCAGUCCGCCGGCGAGUCGGCGGCACGCAACGUGCAUGCUUUCCUUUUAGGCCAGUCUAAAUGAGGUUUUAUUAGAGUUUCAUGCACAUUAAAUAUGCUGAUGUGGUGCUAUAUUAAUGAAGAGA
This 489-nucleotide long non-coding RNA is filed under the name Sorghum bicolor (sorghum). RNAcentral describes it as "long non-coding RNA (SBIC_LNC005833)". Lineage: Eukaryota; Viridiplantae; Streptophyta; Magnoliopsida; Poales; Poaceae. The record is from RNAcentral.